This is a small nucleolar RNA of Pteropus vampyrus (large flying fox), 75 nucleotides long. NCBI's taxonomy places the organism in Eukaryota, Metazoa, Chordata, Mammalia, Chiroptera, Pteropodidae. The record is from Ensembl.
UGGACCAAUGAUGAUAGUUGGUGGAGUAUGAGUCAUAGAUGAUGAAUAUUAUGUGUCUGAAACUCUGAGGUCCAU